AAGUCGUAACAAGGUAACCGUAGGUGAACCUGCGGUUGGAUCAUUAAAAAAAAGGACCAUUGCCUCUCACAGCAGUGAAAGUUGGCUGGUGGUAUCCACAUCUUGUGAACCGUCCCGUCUUUGGUGGUGGGGUGGCCGCUGCUCACCGCAGCGUGUCAUCUGUCAGCCCGGAUCCGCGUGGUCCGAGCCGUGGACAAGCCACCGCAUGCUUUUUCAAACCCUUUGUUUUGUUCUUGGACUUACAUUUUUGUUGUAUUUAAUUACAAACAACUUUUGGCAACGGAUCUCUUGGUUCUC
This 297-nucleotide unclassified non-coding RNA is filed under the name Spizellomyces dolichospermus. Its description in RNAcentral is "partial internal transcribed spacer region". The stretch from base 1 to 46 matches the Rfam family "Eukaryotic small subunit ribosomal RNA", at positions 1786 to 1831 of the family's 1831-position model. The record is from RNAcentral. RNAcentral also lists the same sequence under 1 other name. Lineage: Eukaryota; Fungi; Chytridiomycota; Chytridiomycetes; Spizellomycetales; Spizellomycetaceae.